UACGUAGGGGGCUAGCGUUGUCCGGAAUCAUUGGGCGUAAAGAGCGCGUAGGCGGCCAGAUAAGUCCGGUGUGAAAGUCAAAGGCUCAACCUUUGAAUGCCGCUGGAAACUGUCUGGCUAGAGUCCGGGAGGGGCGAGUGGAAUUCCUGGUGUAGCGGUGAAAUGCGCAGAUAUCAGGAGGAGCACCGGUGGCGAAGGCGGUUCUCUGGGCAUUACCUGACGCUGAGGAGCGAAAGUGUGGGGAGCGAACAGG
This 253-nucleotide ribosomal RNA is filed under the name uncultured bacterium. RNAcentral describes it as "partial 16S ribosomal RNA". It matches the Rfam family "Bacterial small subunit ribosomal RNA", at positions 524 to 776 of the family's 1533-position model. The record is from RNAcentral.